Long non-coding RNA from Alligator mississippiensis (American alligator), 2385 nucleotides. RefSeq lists it as uncharacterized. NCBI's taxonomy places the organism in Eukaryota, Metazoa, Chordata, Crocodylia, Alligatoridae. The record is from RefSeq and is a predicted model, not a curated record. The transcript has 3 exons.
UAAAUUGAAAUAUGUAGAGAAGAAGUAAUAAUGGCAGUGUAGUUUCACAUGAUUUGAUGAACAAACUGCCUUUGCUGUGGCUCUUGUAGUGCUAAUCUGAAACUUGAUUUCCAUGAGAAAAAUUAUUUGGAAAUGCAUAUUGCUCUGAUAAUCAAACCCUAGAGAUCAUCUGACCACAUCUUGAGGAAACACCCACUACCUGUUUGGAUGAAUCUGAGUGGUUUUUUUUGCUUGCAGACACCACUAAAAAGAGGACUGAAAUCUCCAUGGUAAUGUCCUGGAGCUACCAGGGCAAAGACUGAUUUAUUUUAAAAUGUUGAAUGGAGCGGUUGAUCAAGCCUACAUUGGAUGGAGAAGACAAGCUGCCGUUUCGAACACCAAGGGGAAAGAGCCGGAGCAGGAGGCACCAUUCACAUUUAAAGCAAUGCUGGUUUUUGUCCUUCCCAAAGGAGAGAGUUAAUUAAAGCUAGCGCAGUUCUAUUAAGCACUGAGUUCAAUCCUGCAGGACACUGAGCAUCUCCAGGGAGGUGCUGUGCACCUUUGGUUUUCUUUGAGGACCGAGGUUCUCAGCACUUCCAGCUGGUAGCUUGCUGGGAAAAGGCAUUUUAAUUCUACUCACAUGCUGCUAAUUAAGUCACAACUUUUGUUAUUAACAAAACCUUGAUUCAUAAAAAUCAAACGCACAGCAAGUCUGAUUUUGACACAGAUCCUAUGUGUGUGUAAGUCAGUCUUCAAAUUAAACAACAGAUCCCUUUCAUGAAUUGCUUUCAUAACUCCCAUCUGGGUUACCGCAGGCUCCAAUUCAUAAUCACGCUUGCUUGCAUCCAUGUGCUUAUAAUUAAAACUGCUCAUUAAUGUAGCAAAAUUUAAAAAAAGAGAUAUGGUGCACAAUUAUUUACCUCUUGUCAGGAUUGCUUAAUAAUGCCUUUUCUUCUUCUUUGUAAGGAAAUUGGAAAUUUUUGCAGGGUUCAUCAACUUUUCCUGUGCCUCACAGAAAGCCUUGCUGAUAAGGAUGGUAAGAUUAUACUUCAGUAAUAUCAUUAAGGAAUAAUCUUAAUGGCUAUGUCAUAUGGGGAAUUAAAAACAUGCUUCUCAUUAUUGUUAGCAAAGAUUAUAUGCUUAUUUUCUCCUUUUGCACUUCGGAAAAUGUACCCUAUUUGAUACUUACAGUUAGAGUUAGUCAAAAUUUGGUCAGCUGCUAUAAGCUGGUUUCAGUGAAAAGAAAAAAGUUUGCUUUCAAAUGGUUUACUUUAUGAUUGAUUUAAACAGACCAAAACUACUUCAACUCAAAAAUAAGAGACUAGGGAAGGGGAAAGAGGGUGAGAAAGAGGGAAAAGAACCCAGGAAACCAAAAUCUCCACUUAAAAACAAACAAAAGUAAAGAGAUCAAUUUCUUUUGUCAAGAAAUCAAAAUAUUCGAUGUGGGAAAUGUCUCUUUCCAGUGGAAUAGCCGGGUCUCAGUCUGUUGUCUGCUUCCGUGUGAGAAUUUUCUUUUAUUGAGAUUGAAUAUUAUAUUGCGGGAAAUAUUCCCUGCUUAAAAUGAGAUGCAUGGGAGAAAAUGCUUAGUAUUUAUCAGCCAUACCUACUACAUAUGAGAGCCUACUGUAUAUGAGUGCUAAUUACCCUCGGGUUCUUAUUUUGCCUAAUACCCCAUAAACUCUUAUAACAUACAUCACUUCUUUUGCUAUUGAUCUCGUGGAGUUGUUGCGAGGAAGUUGUAUUGGACCAAAUCCCAUGCCCUAAACAGUGGGGACCAAGCUUUUUGGGAGGCAUUCUCCAAAUUAAGCCCCACAAGGUCCUUGAAUGCCAUGUUGAUCUACUUCCCCUGGCCUAUCUGUUGCUCUGCUUUCUGCUCCCUGUCCCCUCCCUGAUCUGCCAUAUGCCACAUCAGGAGGCUGUCCAUGCCCCAGGUUGGCCAUCCCUGGGUUAAACAGAUAACCUGUAUGUUUGACAGUUAUGGGUCAGAGAAGGGACCUGAUUCACACCAAGACAGAAAUACCUUCAACUUAUAAAUUAAUUUAUUUGGUUUCAAGUGUGGCUUUGAAUACUAUUGGAAUCCUGUUUUAUCAGACAUGAGGGUAUGCUUGGAGAGAAGCAUGGGUAUUUCUUAACUUAAAACAGCCAGCUGUUAUUAUGUAUGAUAAUUGUAUUAUUAUUAGAAUUGCUAAUAACAACAAUAGCAAUGAUAAUUGUUCGGUUAUUUGAGUAUAAUAGGAAGCGAAAUUAAAAUUAUAAAUGAAAACUGACUGGAGGGCUGGGGGGAGGAAACCAACAACUUUAUUCCAGGAUUGUCAAAGCAAAGUGAUACUUAAAAGAACAAUAUAUUUUACCAAUGUUGGAAGUCCCUCCCUGUUUUUUCCACAAUAAAGCUUUGCUGCAAUGAAA